CUGCGAAUAUUCUCGCUGUUCUGAUUUUGUAAUAAUCAGGGCAGGCUAAACAUUCGCUAUAUUAAGACCAUGCAUGUGUCCCCAGAUCUAGUUCUUCACCUAGGUCUGGUUUUAUAAAUGCUGGUGAUAAAC
This is a small nucleolar RNA of Camelus dromedarius (Arabian camel), 132 nucleotides long. Its record names the gene SNORA72. It matches the Rfam family "Small nucleolar RNA SNORA72". Rfam says of the family: U72 is a member of the H/ACA class of snoRNAs. The snoRNA gene is located in intron 4 of the ribosomal L30 protein gene in human, mouse and chicken. The record is from Ensembl. Lineage: Eukaryota; Metazoa; Chordata; Mammalia; Artiodactyla; Camelidae.